GUAGUCGUGGCCGAGAUUUUAACACGAUGGACUAGAAAUUCAUUGGAUUAUUCCAGUGUAGGUUCGAAUCCUACCGACUACG
Molecule: non-coding RNA, 82 nt
Organism: Trichonephila clavipes
Lineage: Eukaryota; Metazoa; Arthropoda; Arachnida; Araneae; Nephilidae
Source: the annotation of a GenBank genome assembly